GCAAGUCGAGCGGGACCUUCGGGGUUAGCGGCGGACGGGUGAGUAACACGUAGGCAACCUGCCUGUAAGACUGGGAUAACUACCGGAAACGGUAGCUAAGACCGGAUAAGUGAUUCUCUUGCAUGAGAGGAUCAAGAAACACGGGGCAACCUGUGGCUUACAGAUGGGCCUGCGGCGCAUUAGCUAGUUGGUGGGGUAACGGCUCACCAAGGCGACGAUGCGUAGCCGACCUGAGAGGGUGAUCGGCCACACUGGGACUGAGACACGGCCCAGACUCCUACGGGGGGCAGCAGUAGGGAAUCUUCCGCAAUGGACGCAAGUCUGACGGAGCAACGCCACGUGAGUGAUGAAGGUUUUCGGAUCGUAAAGCUCUGUUGCCAGGGAAGAACGUCGCGGAGAGUAACUGCUCUGCGAAUGACGGUACCUGAGAAGAAAGCCCCGGCUAACUACGUGCCAGCAGCCGCGGUAAUACGUAGGGGGCAAGCGUUGUCCGGAAUUAUUGGGCGUAAAGC
This 512-nucleotide ribosomal RNA is filed under the name uncultured bacterium. RNAcentral describes it as "bacterial SSU rRNA". It matches the Rfam family "Bacterial small subunit ribosomal RNA", at positions 57 to 566 of the family's 1533-position model. The record is from RNAcentral.